RNAcentral lists this long non-coding RNA (2675 nucleotides) under Sus scrofa (pig). RNAcentral describes it as "lncRNA (ENSSSCG00025067267.1)". The record is from RNAcentral. Lineage: Eukaryota; Metazoa; Chordata; Mammalia; Artiodactyla; Suidae.
AGUUAUACAUAUAUAUACAUGUUCUUUUUCUUUUUGGCCACACCCACAGCAUAUGAAAGAGUCAGGGAUUGACCCUGCACCACAGCAGCGACCCAGGCUGCAACAGUGACAGUGCUGGGUCCUUAACCCACAGUGCCGCAGAGGCACUCCAAGUAUACCUACUCUUUUUCAUAUUCUUUUCCAUGGCGGUUGAUUACAGGAUAUUGAUUGUUGCCUCUACUGUACAGUAGGUUGUUUAUGUUUACCUGUUUCAUAUAUAGUGGUUUGUAUCUGCUAAUCCCAAACUCCUAAUUUAUUUCCCCCGCCCCACGCACCCUUUUGGUAACCGUAAGUUUGUCUUCUAUUUCCCUUGCGCAAAUAAAAAUUAAUCUGAACAAUUCAGCUUGGCGGUCUUUUGGUGGUACCAAAGUGAAGUAUCAUUGACCCUUGAACAACCAAGGGUCAGGGGAACCCACCCUUCAUGCAGUCAAAACUCCCCGUAUAACUUACUGUGGGCCCUCCAUAGCCACCCAUCUCCCUUGAUAUCCACAGUUCUGCAUUCUUGGAUUCAGCCAACCACAGGCUGAGUAGUAGUGUUGUAUUUGCUAUUGAAGAAAUCCUCAUGGAAGUGGACCUGCGCAGUUCAGACUAGUAUUGUUCAAGGUUCACCUGUCCUUCCUCCCAUAUUGGGGAAGGCAGGACCUGUCUCUGUAGUCAUGAUGGAUGUGGAAGGGUGAGGUUUAUGGGUGGGUGGGCUUGGCAGUUGUUUUAAGAUGAGGAUCUUUCCAAGGUGACAACCACGGACAGCAUGAUUCCUUUCCUUCAAGACUCAGAUGACCUUGGAGUUCCCAUCGUGGCACAGUGGUUAACGAAUUCGACUAGGAACCAUGAGGUUGCAGGUUUGAUCCCUGGCCUCGCUUGGUGGGUUGAGGAUCCAGCAUUGCCGUGAGCUGUGGUGUAGGUUGCAGACACAGCUCGGAUCUCGCGUUGCUGUGGCUGUCGUGUAGUUUGCAGACUUGGCUUGGAUCCUAUAUAGCUGUGGCAUAGGCCAGCGGCUACAGCUCCGAUUAGACCCCUAGCCUGGGAACCUCCAUGUGCUGCAGGUGUGGCCCUAGAGAAGACAAAAAAAAAAUAAAAAACACUCGGAUGAUCUCUUCGUGUAAGAAGCCUUCCAGACUUUCCAUUUACUCAACCAUUGCCUGCAUCGGUCAGGCACUAUGCUAAGGACAAAGACAUAAAGUCAUAGUUCCUGUCCUCAUGACUCCUUAUUUUUAGCAGACGUCAAGAGACUACUCUAUGUAAGGUUCCACUCUAGGCCCCCAAGUGGUUUGCUGUCUAGUGGAGGAAAGAGAUAAGCUAACAAGCAAUUAUAAUACAAGGUCAUAAGUUUUACAGGAGGAAUUUAAAGGAGAGGCAUCUAGGGAGUUCUUCUCGUGGCCCAGCAGAAACGAAUCAGACCAGGAACCAUGAGGUUGAGGGUUUGAUCCCUGGCCUCACUCAGUGGGUUAAGGAUCUGGCAUUGCUUGAGCAGUGGUGUAGGUCACAGAUGUGGCUUGGAUCCUGUGUGGCUGUGGCUGUGGUGUAGGCCAGCAGCUGUAGCUCCAAUUUGGCCCCUAGCCUGGAAACCUCCCUAGGCUGUGGGUACGGCCCUAAAAAGCAAAAAAAAAAAAAAAAGGAGUUUUGCCUAAGGUGGUCAGCAAAGGCUUCUGGAGGAAAUGAUAUCUGCCCAUAAACUUAAAGGACUGAGUACAGCUAGGUAAUAAAGGAUGAGGGGCUUGGGGAAAUGGGAAUUGUCUUCUGAACGGAGGGGAAUGGUUUAUGUACAGAGUCCUGGGGCCAGAUGGAGCAUGGUGACGUGGGGGUACUAUGUACACUGAGUUUUUCAGCCAGGUGCUGGUGAGGCAUGGGCAGAUGGAAGGGUUACACAUGGCGUUACCAUAUGGACUUUAUCUUGCUGGCAGUAAGGAUCCAUUGGCUGAUCAUUUUGUAAUUAUUAGGGGUCGGGGGGAAACCACAUCGAAUUUGAACUUCGAAACAUGCACCUGGCCUCCUUGUGGAGCAUGGCUUGAGGGAGCUGAGAUGAGAAAUGAUGAGAACAGUCAGAAGUGUUGGGGAGGGAGAUGCUCAUGACCUUACUGAGUGAGUGGUGGAGCAGAAGAACAGACUGACAGGUGAGGUUCAGGAACCGAUAACCUUGGUGUUUGGAUGGAGAAGCUGAAAGAGUCAAGGAACACACCUAGGGUGCUAUAGACACUCGUGUCUGCCUUUGUUCUAGCACAUGUCCCAUGGUGUUUUAAGUGUUCGUAUCUUCGAUUCCUGAGUUUGACUCUACAUUACUUGAGGAUUCACCCUUGUAUCCACUGCACCCAUUGUGGAAGGGCAACAUGAACAUGCGUGGGAGGUCAAGCUAGGGGAUUGAUGGAGCAAAGUUGUGUGCAUGUGGCCCACAGGAAGGGACUGCUGAGCAGAGCACUGAGUGUGUGGUGGCGCCUCUCGUCCUCAGCUCUUUGCUCCCGUCUUUUGUGGGCUUUGAAAGCAAGCUGGACAGAAUGACUAGGGGCACACUGGACCUCAGCUGAAGCCCGGGGAGCUUUUCAGGACUGAAGCAGAAGCUGCUUGGUGUGUGGCUUUGUGCUUUUGUGCAUUCACACCACUGUGUGUGGACUUGCAUUGAAAGUCUGCAGUGUGGAGACAGG